RNAcentral lists this unclassified non-coding RNA (1762 nucleotides) under Hevea brasiliensis (rubber tree). The record is from RNAcentral. Lineage: Eukaryota; Viridiplantae; Streptophyta; Magnoliopsida; Malpighiales; Euphorbiaceae.
CAUUAUUUUACAAGCCUGACUAAAACUUACACCCCAUGUCCAGCCUUCCAAGUUCCUUCCCUCCUACCGCCAGCAUUAUUCAAACAUGCACUAUAACAGGAAACAACUGAAAUUGCAUUCUCUUUCUCAGCCCCUCUUCUACUGAACGUAACAUGAGGUAUGUCACCUUCGUUCACUUACAAUAAUGUUGGAUCCAACAUCCUCACAUUCAUAGGACAUGCAUGCAAAUUGCCAGCGCAAACUCACAACUAGAUAUACGUGUUAAAUCACAGAAAGACGUCGAGAUAUGCAUAAUUCCUGCAUCGGUUAUACUGAAGGAGGCUUCCAUAGGUACGAUCCCACACUCCUAUGAAGAGGGAUUCUGUAUCAGGGCUAAAAGACACACCAGAGAUUUCCCCAAAAAAAUCAAUCUCCUGCUCUUUGUCAAAUCCAUUCUUUACAUCAUAGACAUGCACAAAAUCAGCUGGCUCUGCCAUAGCCAUGAAUUGCCCAUCAGAUGUAAACCGAAUUGAUCUAAUGGCUCCUAAGUUGCCCUUGAGCACAGCUACAGAUUUUGACAAGUUUCUAGCAUCCCAAAUACGACAUGUCUUGUCUUGAUUCCCAGUGGCGAAGAUGCGGCCAUCAGGAUGCCAAGCAGAUGCAAAUGAGAAAUCCAAAUGUCCACACAAAGGCGUAAUGGUCUUUCCUGUUUGAGAAUCUACUAGUAAUCCUUCUGGGUUGUCACCAACAAUAGUAAGAAGCUUACCAUCAGGACUCAAUGAGGUGUGAUUCACUGGCCAAGGGAAGCUAAAAUGCUUGGUAAGCUGGAAUUUCUCCAUGUCAAAAUCUCUAACUCCAGAGUCAUUAUUUGAAGCCAUGAAAUGAACUGCACCACUGGCAUAAUCAUAAAUCUCAACUGCAUUUGUGAUUGCAUUAUCCUCAUAAGUUGUCCUGUAACAGAAGCUAAUUCCUGGUCGAUCUAAAUGCUUACAAAUAAGUUCUCCCUGGAACCCUCCAGCAAUCAACAACUUAUCACGUACUGCCAGUGUACUAACUUGAGUUUGAGUAAAUCCUUCCAAGAGGCUCCCAGGGUGUUUCUCGCAUGGUGCCACAUGCCCGGAAACAUUAAGAACUUCAAUCUUCUUGCAAUUUAAAGAUGACCAGUGAACAAUGGAGAAAUGUGACAUAAGGUAGACAUCAUGUUUUGUGGUUGACCAAACCAAGUUCCGCAAUUGAAAAUGAAGGAUAGUUGAUGUCACUGAUCUUGUAUUACGCCAAAAAUCAUAAUACACUCCCCCUUUCUUUGUUGGUUUGCAUUCCUUUUCUGAACCUUCUCCUGAUUGAGGGAUGUUUUCGUAGUUCUUGUAUUGCUCUAGCCUAGUCUGUCUGUACUUCUCACGGGAAAUGCUCAGUCUCUCCCAAGGAAUUCCCUGGAUAUCCUUUCCUCUCCUAGCAUCUGCUGCAGAUGUAUCUGUAAUCUUAUUGUCCAAAUGAUCAUAUUCGUCGUCAUCAUCAUCAGACUCUGAAUCACCCAUGAAUCUACCCCGGAAAUACACAUCAUCAUCCACUUCUGCCAUCUCGAAAUCAUCCGCCAUGUAAUCCAUUUCAUCCCCCUGGUAUUGGGACAUGUUUGUAGAGCAAACAAACCUUAGAAUGUAGAAAAUAGAUGAUCUACAGAAUGAUGGGUCUCUGCUGUGCGUGCUGUCCGCACGAGAUAUUGUGGGAUGCUUUAAGGGAGAGCAAGGCUUUCAUAUACGCCAAAGAGAUAGGCUCAGGCACUGGG